AACAGGCAGCACAGAGGAGAGAGAGUAAUUGUGAUGUAAUGUUUCAGGGGAGGCAACCCUGACAGACGCUCUGUCAGCUGCUGGAAAAACCUACGAGGAGAUCGCAGAGAUCGUCUCACAGCAGCCUCAGAAGGACCUUCAGUUUCUAUUGGAGACCAACUGCGAGUACAAAAGCCUGCUGGGAUGUUUCCCAGAAAUUAUCGCUGUACACAAGGCUGCAGUGGAGAAGGUGAAGGAAGCCGAUCGAAUGAUUUCUGCAGGAAAAAUCAACAACAACGACAGGAAGUGCAUGAACCGACGAAUCAGCUGCAUGAGCUACUCACUGCAGGCUGAGAUGAAUCAUUUCCAUAGUAACCGUAUCUAUGACUACAACAGAGUGAUGCAGCUCUACCUGGAACAACAGGUGACCUUCUACCAACAGAUCGCUGAUAAGCUGAGAGGAGCUCUGAGUCAGUUCACUACACUGUGAGGACGCCAUCACCGCCUGACGACAUCACUGAUGACGUCACCGUCACAGCAGACACGUCUGAACACUAAUGAGCCUCAUAAUAAUGUUUGUGAUUAAUGUUUUCACUGGAUUUUACACAUUAAAGCUUCUUUUAUCA
Molecule: long non-coding RNA, 605 nt
Organism: Micropterus dolomieu (smallmouth bass)
Lineage: Eukaryota; Metazoa; Chordata; Actinopteri; Centrarchiformes; Centrarchidae
Exons: 5
Source: RefSeq, a predicted model, not a curated record